UUUCGAAUCAUUCACAAUGGGCGAAAGCCUGAUGGUGCGACGCCACGUGAGGGAUGAAGGUCUUCGGAUUGUAAACCUCUGUCACUGGGGAAGAAACGUUUUGAGCUAAUAGUUCAAAGCCUGACAUAACCCGGAGAGGAAGCAGUGGCUAACUCUGUGCCAGCAGCCGCGGUAAUACAGAGACUGCAAGCGUUAUUCGGAUUCACUGGGCGUAAAGGGUGCGCAGGCGGCCGUGUGUGUGAGGCGUGAAAGCCCGGGGCUUAACCCCGGAAUUGCACCUCAAACUACACGGCUAGAGCAUUGGAGAGGGUAGCAGAAUUCAUGGUGUAGCAGUGAAAUGCGUAGAUAUCAUGAGGAAUACCAGAGGCGAAGGCGGCUACCUGGACAAUUGCUGACGCUCAGGCACGAAAGCGUGGGGAGCAAAAGGGAUUAGAUACCCGGGUAGUCC
RNAcentral lists this ribosomal RNA (448 nucleotides) under uncultured bacterium. Its description in RNAcentral is "bacterial SSU rRNA". It matches the Rfam family "Bacterial small subunit ribosomal RNA", at positions 355 to 796 of the family's 1533-position model. The record is from RNAcentral.